Molecule: ribosomal RNA, 118 nt
Filed under: Lepisosteus oculatus (spotted gar)
Lineage: Eukaryota; Metazoa; Chordata; Actinopteri; Semionotiformes; Lepisosteidae
Source: RNAcentral
GCCAGCAGCCAUAUCACCCUGCAACUCACAGCUGGCAGCCCACUGUAGCUCAGCAGGUGUGAGCCUGGUCAGUACCUGGCUGGGAGACCUCCUGGGAAAAAUAAGGUUGCUGCUGGAA